AAUGUAACACUUAAAUAAAACAAACAUUUGUUUGAAUUUGCUAUAAUACAUCAAUCAUAUUUAUGUUAUAAAUUAGUAUGAUUUUAGAAAAUAUUAUGUCAUAUAACAUCAAUAUCAUCAAAAAGGAUGUUCAUAUCUAAAGUAAUGACGAUACACAAUAUUUUGAAGUGUUCAUAGUCAUACUUGAACUGUUUCAUGGGUUAAUUAUGCAUGUUGUCAGUACAAGAUAUUUUGAUGAUUACCUGUAUUCAUAUUUUUACACAUUGCAUGCUUAAACAUAUAUCCUAAAUUCUAAUUUGUAUGUUUAGUUUAUUUAUCAAUCAAUAUUCUCAAUAUUUCAAUGCAGACUAACAGUACUAGCUGUUCAUGUGAAAAUACAAGGUUGCUUUUUUGUAGGAAUGAAUGGUUUAAUAAUAUUUGGUUAUUAUUAGAAAUGUGAUCAAAAUAAAAAAAA
This 454-nucleotide long non-coding RNA is filed under the name Mytilus galloprovincialis (Mediterranean mussel). Lineage: Eukaryota; Metazoa; Mollusca; Bivalvia; Mytilida; Mytilidae. The record is from RNAcentral.